Molecule: ribosomal RNA, 683 nt
Filed under: uncultured Clostridium sp.
Lineage: Bacteria; Bacillati; Bacillota; Clostridia; Eubacteriales; Clostridiaceae
Description: bacterial SSU rRNA
Rfam family: Bacterial small subunit ribosomal RNA
Source: RNAcentral
AGCGAUUCUCUUCGGAGAAGAGCGGCGGACGGGUGAGUAACGCGUGGGUAACCUGCCCUGUACACACGGAUAACAUACCGAAAGGUAUGCUAAUACGGGAUAACAUAAGAAAUUCGCAUGUUUUUCUUAUCAAAGCUCCGGCGGUACAGGAUGGACCCGCGUCUGAUUAGCUAGUUGGUGAGGUAAUGGCUCACCAAGGCGACGAUCAGUAGCCGACCUGAGAGGGUGAUCGGCCACAUUGGAACUGAGACACGGUCCAAACUCCUACGGGAGGCAGCAGUGGGGAAUAUUGCACAAUGGGCGAAAGCCUGAUGCAGCAACGCCGCGUGAGCGAUGAAGGCCUUCGGGUCGUAAAGCUCUGUCCUCAAGGAAGAUAAUGACGGUACUUGAGGAGGAAGCCCCGGCUAACUACGUGCCAGCAGCCGCGGUAAUACGUAGGGGGCUAGCGUUAUCCGGAUUUACUGGGCGUAAAGGGUGCGUAGGCGGUCUUUUAAGUCAGGAGUGAAAGGCUACGGCUCAACCGUAGUAAGCUCUUGAAACUGGAGGACUUGAGUGCAGGAGAGGAGAGUGGAAUUCCUAGUGUAGCGGUGAAAUGCGUAGAUAUUAGGAGGAACACCAGUAGCGAAGGCGGCUCUCUGGACUGUAACUGACGCUGAGGCACGAAAGCGUGGGGAGCAAACAGG